This 460-nucleotide ribosomal RNA is filed under the name uncultured bacterium. RNAcentral's name for it is "partial 16S ribosomal RNA". It matches the Rfam family "Bacterial small subunit ribosomal RNA", at positions 338 to 795 of the family's 1533-position model. The record is from RNAcentral.
CCUACGGGUGGCAGCAGUGAGGAAUAUUGGUCAAUGGGCGGAAUCCUGAACCAGCCAUGCCGCGUGCAGGACGACGGCCCUAUGAGUUGUAAACUGCUUUUGUACGGGGGUAAAAUGCUCUACGUGUAGGUUUUUGCAAGUACGGUACGAAUAAGGACCGGCUAACUCCGUGCCAGCAGCCGCGGUAAUACGGAGGGUCCGAGCGUUAUCCGGAUUCAUUGGGUUUAAAGGGUGCGUAGGUUGUUUUAUAAGUUAGCGGUGAAAUACCGAGGCUCAACAUCGGGGCUGCCGCUGAUACUGUAGGACUAGAGAGCGGAUGCGGCAGGCGGAAUGUGUAGUGUAGCGGUGAAAUGCAUAGAUAUUACACAGAACACCGAUUGCGAAGGCAGCUUGCUAGGCCGGAUCUGACGCUGAUGCACGAAAGCGUGGGGAUCGAACAGGAUUAGAUACCCUUGUAGUC